AUUGAACGCUGGCGGCAGGCCUAACACAUGCAAGUCGAGCGGAUGAAGGGAGCUUGCUCCUGGAUUCAGCGGCGGACGGGUGAGUAAUGCCUAGGAAUCUGCCUGGUAGUGGGGGAUAACGUCCGGAAACGGGCGCUAAUACCGCAUACGUCCUGAGGGAGAAAGUGGGGGAUCUUCGGACCUCACGCUAUCAGAUGAGCCUAGGUCGGAUUAGCUAGUUGGUGGGGUAAAGGCCUACCAAGGCGACGAUCCGUAACUGGUCUGAGAGGAUGAUCAGUCACACUGGAACUGAGACACGGUCCAGACUCCUACGGGAGGCAGCAGUGGGGAAUAUUGGACAAUGGGCGAGAGCCUGAUCCAGCCAUGCCGCGUGUGUGAAGAAGGUCUUCGGAUUGUAAAGCACUUUAAGUUGGGAGGAAGGGCAGUAAGUUAAUACCUUGCUGUUUUGACGUUACCAACAGAAUAAGCACCGGCUAGCUUCGUG
RNAcentral lists this ribosomal RNA (484 nucleotides) under uncultured bacterium. RNAcentral's name for it is "partial 16S ribosomal RNA". It matches the Rfam family "Bacterial small subunit ribosomal RNA", at positions 30 to 507 of the family's 1533-position model. The record is from RNAcentral.